This 468-nucleotide ribosomal RNA is filed under the name uncultured bacterium. RNAcentral's name for it is "partial 16S ribosomal RNA". It matches the Rfam family "Bacterial small subunit ribosomal RNA", at positions 28 to 507 of the family's 1533-position model. The record is from RNAcentral.
GACGAACGCUGGCGGCGUGCUUAACACAUGCAAGUCGAACGGAAAGGCCCUGCUUUUGUGGGGUGCUCGAGUGGCGAACGGGUGAGUAACACGUGAGUAACCUGCCCUUGACUUUGGGAUAACUUCGGGAAACUGGGGCUAAUACCGGAUAGGAGCUCCUGCUGCAUGGUGUGGGUUGGAAAGUUUCGGCGGUUGGGAAUGGACUCGCGGCUUAUCAGCUUGUUGGUGUGGUAGUGGCUUACCAAGGCUUUGACGGGUAGCCGGCCUGAGAGGGUGACCGGCCACAGUGGGACUGAGAUACGGCCCAGACGGCUACGGGAGGCAGCAGUGGGGAAUAUUGCACAAUGGGCGGAAGCCUGAUGCAGCAACGCCGCAUGCGGGAUGACGGUCGUCGGGUUGUAAACCGCUUUCGCCUGUGACGAAGCGUGAGUGACGGUAAUGGGUAAAGAAGCACCGGCUAACUACGUG